GGGCACCACCAUGAAUCCCCUCCUUGAGGCCAUGGAAUUAUGUCCAAGAACCACACUAUGUUACAUCCAACCACCAAACAUGUCUCAUACAUUCACAUACUUUCAAUUUAAUAGCAUUGUCAAACAAUAACAGUACCAGAAGAACCACUAAACAACACAAAACCCCGUAAAAUCAUACUUAGACAAAGAAAAUGACUUUGAAACCAUCCCCAACAGUUUCAGAAAGGUCCAAAAC
Molecule: long non-coding RNA, 235 nt
Filed under: Vigna radiata
Lineage: Eukaryota; Viridiplantae; Streptophyta; Magnoliopsida; Fabales; Fabaceae
Description: long non-coding RNA (VRAD_LNC010341)
Source: RNAcentral